RNAcentral lists this non-coding RNA (275 nucleotides) under Aurantiochytrium limacinum. The record is from RNAcentral. Lineage: Eukaryota; Bigyra; Thraustochytrida; Thraustochytriidae.
GUUUUAGCGAGCGGUGAUGGCACUCCUGAUAGCGCCGCGGGCGCUUGUAGAACAGUUUUCGCGAGCUGCAGGAGUCCAUGGUGGGCUAAACCAGCUGGCCUUGGUUCUUGUGGUCUACGCAGUGCUCGGCCGUGCAGUGCGGGUUCUUAUGGACCGUAGCGGGAUGGUUGUGGUUAACCUGGAGGUACAAUGUACGUGCUCGCUGAUGCUUGUAGCAGCUCUCGCAGUUCUCGACAUGCAGGAUUUGAAACGAAGGGUUGGCGCCUCGUGGCCGC